GUGUCGGUAGUGUAACAGUUGGAGCACGCUUCCCCGGAUAGGGUGAAAUGUGGGUUCGAGUCCCACCUAACGCA
Molecule: non-coding RNA, 74 nt
Organism: Parelaphostrongylus tenuis
Lineage: Eukaryota; Metazoa; Nematoda; Chromadorea; Rhabditida; Metastrongylidae
Source: the annotation of a GenBank genome assembly